This 484-nucleotide ribosomal RNA is filed under the name uncultured bacterium. RNAcentral's name for it is "bacterial SSU rRNA". It matches the Rfam family "Bacterial small subunit ribosomal RNA", at positions 1 to 472 of the family's 1533-position model. The record is from RNAcentral.
UUAGAGUUUGAUCCUGGCUCAGAGCGAACGUUAGCGGCGGGCCUAACACAUGCAAGUCGCACGAGAAAAGGGCUUCGGCCCCCAGUAAAGUGGCGGACGGGUGAGUAACACGUGGAUAAUCUACCCUUCGGCGGGGGACAACAAUCCGAAAGGAUUGCUAAUACCGCAUACGUCGGCUGGCUCUGCGGAGCUGGCCGGGAAAGCAGCCCUCUCCGUGGAAGGUUGCACCGAAGGAUGAGUCCGCGGCCCAUCAGCUAGUUGGUAGGGUAAUGGCCUACCAAGGCUUAGACGGGUAGCUGGUCUGAGAGGAUGAUCAGCCACACUGGAACUGAGACACGGUCCAGACUCCUACGGGAGGCAGCAGUGGGGAAUAUUGGGCAAUGGGCGCAAGCCUGACCCAGCCACGCCGCGUGAGUGAUGAAGGCCUUCGGGUCGUAAAGCUCUGUGGGGAGGGACGAAAAAACGUUGGCUAAUAUCCAACGGA